This 497-nucleotide ribosomal RNA is filed under the name uncultured bacterium. Its description in RNAcentral is "partial 16S ribosomal RNA". It matches the Rfam family "Bacterial small subunit ribosomal RNA", at positions 28 to 507 of the family's 1533-position model. The record is from RNAcentral.
GAUGAACGCUGGCGGCGUGCCUAAUACAUGCCAGUCGAGCGAACGGACGAGAAGCUUGCUUCUCUGAUGUUAGCGGCGGACGGGUGAGUAACACGUGGAUAACCUACCUAUAAGACUGGGAUAACUUCGGGAAACCGGAGCUAAUACCGGAUAAUAUUUUGAACCGCAUGGUUCAAAAGUGAAAGACGGUCUUGCUGUCACUUAUAGAUGGAUCCGCGCUGCAUUAGCUAGUUGGUAAGGUAACGGCUUACCAAGGCAACGAUGCAUAGCCGACCUGAGAGGGUGAUCGGCCACACUGGAACUGAGACACGGUCCAGACUCCUACGGGAGGCAGCAGUAGGGAAUCUUCCGCAAUGGGCGAAAGCCUGACGGAGCAGCGCCGCGUGAGUGAUGAAGGUCUUCGGAUCGUAAAACUCUGUUAUUAGGGAAGAACAUAUGUGUAAGUAACUGUGCACAUCUUGACGGUACCUAAUCAGAAAGCCACGGCUAACUACGUG